AGAGAUUCAAUUGACCUGCGGAAAAACAAAUGGCAACAGAGGCGUAAGGUCGAAGGUCCCAAGAAGAUCGAGGAGGUUCACAGGGAUGCAGCUCAAGAAAGGCAUGCUCAAUCGAGCAGGCUAGGACGUGGUCCAUCUGUUAGUUCUCUUCCAAGAAGAGGAGCACCUCCUAUGGAUUAUGGCCCCCGCGGCUCAUCUGCAUUAGCAUCCCCAAGUUCCCAACAAGGGAGCAUUCGAGGAAUGCCUCCACAUUCGCGUUCAUUUGGUGGUUCACAAGAUAUCCGGUUUGAGGAAAGGCAUCAAUUUGACAGUAGAACACCUCUUCCUCAGCGUGCAGUCAAGGAUGAGCCUAUCACUCUUGGCCCACAGGGUGGCCUUGCUAGGGGUAUGUCUAUAAGAGGGC
This 403-nucleotide long non-coding RNA is filed under the name Setaria italica (foxtail millet). RNAcentral's name for it is "long non-coding RNA (SITA_LNC001596)". The record is from RNAcentral. Lineage: Eukaryota; Viridiplantae; Streptophyta; Magnoliopsida; Poales; Poaceae.